Molecule: ribosomal RNA, 434 nt
Filed under: uncultured Clostridium sp.
Lineage: Bacteria; Bacillati; Bacillota; Clostridia; Eubacteriales; Clostridiaceae
Description: partial 16S ribosomal RNA
Rfam family: Bacterial small subunit ribosomal RNA
Source: RNAcentral
ACGGAAGGCAGCAGUGGGGAAUAUUGCACAAUGGGGGAAACCCUGAUGCAGCAACGCCGCGUGAGUGAUGACGGUCUUCGGAUUGUAAAGCUCUGUCUUUAGGGACGAUAAUGACGGUACCUAAGGAGGAAGCCACGGCUAACUACGUGCCAGCAGCCGCGGUAAUACGUAGGUGGCAAGCGUUGUCCGGAUUUACUGGGCGUAAAGGGAGCGUAGGUGGAUAUUUAAGUGGGAUGUGAAGUACCCGGGCUUAACCUGGGUGCUGCAUUCCAAACUGGAUAUCUAGAGUGCAGGAGAGGAAAGGAGAAUUCCUAGUGUAGCGGUGAAAUGCGUAGAGAUUAGGAAGAAUACCAGUGGCGAAGGCGCCUUUCUGGACUGUAACUGACACUGAGGCUCGAAAGUGCGGGGAUCGAACAGGAUUAGAUACCCUGGUA